This 407-nucleotide ribosomal RNA is filed under the name uncultured bacterium. RNAcentral's name for it is "bacterial SSU rRNA". It matches the Rfam family "Bacterial small subunit ribosomal RNA", at positions 355 to 774 of the family's 1533-position model. The record is from RNAcentral.
UGGGGAAUAUUGCACAAUGGGCGCAAGCCUGAUGCGGCGACGCCGCGUGAGGGAUGACGGCCUUCGGGUUGUAAACCUCUUUCACCAGGGACGAAGCGUAAGUGACGGUACCUGGAGAAGAAGCACCGGCCAACUACGUGCCAGCAGCCGCGGUAAUACGUAGGGUGCGAGCGUUGUCCGGAAUUACUGGGCGUAAAGAGCUCGUAGGUGGUUUGUCGCGUUGUUCGUGAAAACUCACAGCUUAACUGUGGGCGUGCGGGCGAUACGGGCAGACUAGAGUACUGCAGGGGAGACUGGAAUUCCUGGUGUAGCGGUGGAAUGCGCAGAUAUCAGGAGGAACACCGGUGGCGAAGGCGGGUCUCUGGGCAGUAACUGACGCUGAGGAGCGAAAGCGUGGGGAGCGAACA